GAGUCUGCGGCGCGCG
RNAcentral lists this unclassified non-coding RNA (16 nucleotides) under synthetic construct. The record is from RNAcentral.